RNAcentral lists this ribosomal RNA (279 nucleotides) under uncultured bacterium. RNAcentral describes it as "partial 16S ribosomal RNA". It matches the Rfam family "Bacterial small subunit ribosomal RNA", at positions 506 to 784 of the family's 1533-position model. The record is from RNAcentral.
UGCCAGCCGCCGCGGUAAUACGGAGGGUGCAAGCGUUAAUCGGAAUUACUGGGCGUAAAGCGAGCGUAGGCGGUUUAAUAAGUUGGCUGUGAAAGCCCCGGGCUUAACCUGGGAUGGUCGGUCAAAACUGUUAGACUAGAGUACAGUAGAGGGGUGUGGAAUUUCCGGUGUAGCGGUGAAAUGCGUAGAGAUCGGAAGGAACACCAGUGGCGAAGGCGGCACUCUGGACUGAUACUGACGCUGAGGUUCGAAAGCGUGGGGAGCAAACAGGAUUAGAUA